AUGGCUUUCAGCAGGAGCAUGGUCCUGAUUACCAUGAGACUUUUGCUCCUGCAAAACCGUAUGCUUGUGGCCUCUGUUCGCCACUGGUUCGUGUCUAGGCUUGAUGUUAAGACUGUCUUUCUUAAUAGUGAGCUAUGUGAGGAGGUUUACACACAACCACCACCUGGGUAUUCUACUCCUUACGACAUGCUUAGUCGUCUUCAUCGCUCUCUCUAUAGCUUUAAGCAAGCCUCCCGUGCCUGGUUUGAGCGUUUUGCCUCUAUGGUGGAUGUUGCUGGUUUUCAGCGAGUGCUCAAGAUCCGACGUUGUUUGCCCUUCUUUCUGCUCUUGGUAGGACUCUUCUUCAUGUUGAUGACAUGGAUCAUCACCGAAGCAGACCGUGAGUAUAUUGCCUUUGUGAAGGCAUGCUAUGCAGUUUCUUAUGUCUUAUCUUGGUCCUCUCUGCUACUUUUUUGGGAUUGA
Molecule: ribosomal RNA, 462 nt
Filed under: Triticum aestivum (bread wheat)
Lineage: Eukaryota; Viridiplantae; Streptophyta; Magnoliopsida; Poales; Poaceae
Description: partial small subunit ribosomal RNA
Source: RNAcentral